RNAcentral lists this ribosomal RNA (240 nucleotides) under uncultured Lactobacillus sp. RNAcentral's name for it is "partial 16S ribosomal RNA". It matches the Rfam family "Bacterial small subunit ribosomal RNA", at positions 122 to 354 of the family's 1533-position model. The record is from RNAcentral. Lineage: Bacteria; Bacillati; Bacillota; Bacilli; Lactobacillales; Lactobacillaceae.
UAACCUGCCCAAGAGAUCGGGAUAACACCUGGAAACAGAUGCUAAUACCGGAUAACAACAGAUGAUGCCUAUCAACUGUUUAAAGGAUGGUUCUGCUAUCACUCUUGGAUGGACCUGCGGUGCAUUAGCUAGUUGGUAGGGUAACGGCCUACCAAGGCGAUGAUGCAUAGCCGAGUUGAGAGACUGAUCGGCCACAUUGGGACUGAGACACGGCCCAAACUCCUACGGGAGGCAGCAGAC